AUUGAACGCUGGCGGAAUGCUUUACACAUGCAAGUCGAGCGGCAGCGCGGGGGCAACCCUGGCGGCGAGCGGCGAACGGGUGAGUAAUGCAUCGGAACGUACCCAGUCGUGGGGGAUAACGUGGCGAAAGUCACGCUAAUACCGCAUACGUCCUGAGGGAGAAAGCAGGGGAUCGCAAGACCUUGCGCGAUUGGAGCGGCCGAUGUCUGAUUAGCUAGUUGGUGGGGUAAAGGCCUACCAAGGCGACGAUCAGUAGCUGGUCUGAGAGGACGAUCAGCCACACUGGGACUGAGACACGGCCCAGACUCCUACGGGAGGCAGCAGUGGGGAAUUUUGGACAAUGGGCGAAAGCCUGAUCCAGCCAUUCCGCGUGAGUGAAGAAGGCCUCGGUU
Molecule: ribosomal RNA, 392 nt
Filed under: uncultured bacterium
Lineage: Bacteria
Description: bacterial SSU rRNA
Rfam family: Bacterial small subunit ribosomal RNA
Source: RNAcentral